RNAcentral lists this ribosomal RNA (497 nucleotides) under uncultured bacterium. RNAcentral's name for it is "partial 16S ribosomal RNA". It matches the Rfam family "Bacterial small subunit ribosomal RNA", at positions 30 to 523 of the family's 1533-position model. The record is from RNAcentral.
AUUGAACGCUGGCGGCAUGCUUUACACAUGCAAGUCGAACGGUAACAGGCCGCAAGGUGCUGACGAGUGGCGAACGGGUGAGUAAUGCAUCGGAACGUGCCCAGUCGUGGGGGAUAACGCAGCGAAAGCUGUGCUAAUACCGCAUACGAUCUAUGGAUGAAAGCGGGGGACCGUAAGGCCUCGCGCGAUUGGAGCGGCCGAUGUCAGAUUAGGUAGUCGGUGGGGUAAAGGCUCACCAAGCCAACGAUCUGUAGCUGGUCUGAGAGGACGACCAGCCACACUGGGACUGAGACACGGCCCAGACUCCUACGGGAGGCAGCAGUGGGGAAUUUUGGACAAUGGGCGCAAGCCUGAUCCAGCAAUGCCGCGUGCAGGAAGAAGGCCUUCGGGUUGUAAACUGCUUUUGUACGGAACGAAAAGGUUUGGGUUAAUACCCUGGCCGAUGACGGUACCGUAAGAAUAAGCACCGGCUAAUUACGUGCCAGCCGCCGCCGUAA